This is a long non-coding RNA of Cheilinus undulatus (humphead wrasse), 854 nucleotides long. RefSeq lists it as uncharacterized. The record is from RefSeq and is a predicted model, not a curated record. NCBI's taxonomy places the organism in Eukaryota, Metazoa, Chordata, Actinopteri, Labriformes, Labridae. The transcript has 3 exons.
UGUCCUGCUCCAUAUCCCAAGUAUGCCUGGGCUUGAGUUCACAAACUGAUGGCCGGACGUUCUCCCUCAGGAUUUUCUGGUACAGACCAGAAUUCCAUCAGUUACGGUAACUGAUCCAGGUCCUAAAGCAGCGAAACCUCAGACCAUCACCCUACCAACACCAUGUUUGACGAUCAAACUGAACCAGAGACAGAUGAUCGCAGUGCCUACAGAGGAGUGCUGCCUCCGUCUCUACAGGCCCUGUGAGCAGUGUGAAGUCCAGUCGUAGUGACAGAUAGGCAGCUGGAGUGACGGACCGUGGACUUAUCUAACAGGCUCAUUCACAGAGGUCAGAGGGAGGAGCUGCCUGACAACAGGACAGGAAAGUCAAGACUGAAAAGAUGGGGGAGGGAGAGAGUGGAGGUCAUGCAGCAAACCCAGCCACUCAGCUUAGCCCUCAAUGCUGUAGCAUUAAUGCUACACCAGGUGAACUACCUGUGCACACAUCCGGGCGCCAGAAUAAGGAUGUCCUAUCGGCCUGGGGACGAGGCAAAAUAUGCUUUGGAAAUAUUUCCUGUGAUGAUACCAGGAUGGGAAUUUUAUGUGUAUGUUUUGGGCUUUAAUAACUUUAUGCUGACAGGAGGACAGCGGAAAGAGUCAGAAACAGGGAUGAGAGAGUGGUGGAGAGACCUGCAGGAAAGGAGCCGCAGGCCAGCCGCGUACCGCAUAGCCGACCUGACUGCCAGUGAAAGAGCAGAACUUCUGAUGAUAUUUCUAUGGUUGCAAUGAAUGCCACCACUGAUUGUCAUCUUAAAUAACCAGCUCCAAAUACAACAGUUUCAAUACAGGCCCAUGAAAUAAAAAUAAACCUUGAG